This 952-nucleotide non-coding RNA is filed under the name Lesueurigobius friesii (Fries's goby). RNAcentral's name for it is "12S ribosomal RNA". It matches the Rfam family "Bacterial small subunit ribosomal RNA". The record is from RNAcentral. Lineage: Eukaryota; Metazoa; Chordata; Actinopteri; Gobiiformes; Gobiidae.
CACAAGCUUGGUCCUGGCUUUACUGUCAGCUUUGAUUAAAUUUAUACAUGCAAGUCUCCGCACCCCUGUGAGAAUGCCCUACCUAUGCCCCACAUCUGGUAAAAAGGAGCCGGUAUCAGGCACAACCCUAGUUAGCCCACGACACCUUGCUUAGCCACACCCCCAUGGGAACCCAGCAGUAAUAAACAUUAAGCCAUAAGUGUAAACUUGACUUAGUUAAUAUCAUAAAGGGCCGGUUAAACUCGUGCCAGCCACCGCGGUUAUACGAGAGGCCCAUGUUGACAAACAUCGGCGUAAAGAGUGGUUAAUAGAAUCUUUAACUAAGGUCGAACAUCUUCAAGGCUGUUAUACGCAUCCGAAGGCAGGAAGCCCUCCUACGAAAGUGACCUUAACUAGUAUGACCCCACGAAAGCUAGGGAACAAACUGGGAUUAGAUACCCCACUAUGCCUAGCCCCAAACAUAAAUUAAACUUUUUACACUUUAUAUUCGCCAGGGAACAACGAGCCCCAGCUUAAAACCCAAAGGACUUGGCGGUGCUUUAGACCCCCCUAGAGGAGCCUGUUCUAGAACCGAUACUCCCCGUUCAACCUCACCCUCUCUUGUUUUCCCCGCCUAUAUACCGCCGUCGUCAGCUUACCCUAUGAAGGAACCACCGUAAGCAAAAUUGGCAUAGCCCAAAACGUCAGGUCGAGGUGUAGCGUACGAGAGGGGAAGAAAUGGGCUACAUUUACUGUACCAGUAAACACGAACCAUGUAAUGAAAUAUACAUAUGAAGGAGGAUUUAGCAGUAAGGGAGGAAUAGAGAGCCCCCCUGAAAAUGGCCCUGAAGCGCGCACACACCGCCCGUCACUCUCCCCGAUAACUCACCGCAAAUAACUAAUGCCUAAUCAAACUAUAAGGGGAGGCAAGUCGUAACAUGGUAAGUGUACCGGAAGGUGCACUUGGAAAAAC